This 396-nucleotide ribosomal RNA is filed under the name uncultured bacterium. RNAcentral describes it as "partial 16S ribosomal RNA". It matches the Rfam family "Bacterial small subunit ribosomal RNA", at positions 523 to 918 of the family's 1533-position model. The record is from RNAcentral.
AUACGUAGGUGACAAGCGUUAUCCGGAUUUACUGGGCGUAAAGGGCGUGUAGGCGGUCUUGCAAGUCAGAAGUGAAAUUCCUGAGCUCAACUCGGGCGCUGCUUCUGAAACUGCAGGACUUGAGUGCUGGAGGGGAUAGCGGAAUUCCUAGUGGAGCGGUAAAAUGCGCAGAUAUUAGGAAGAACACCGGUGGCGAAGGCGGCUAUCUGGACAGUAACUGACGCUGAGGCGCGAAAGCGUGGGGAGCAAACAGGAUUAGAUUCCCUGGUAGGCCACGCUGUAAACGAUGAAUACUAGGUGUGGGGGGACUGGCCCCCUUCGUGCCGCAGUUAACACAAUAAGUAUUCCACCUGGGGAGUACGAUCGCAAGAUUGAAACUCAAAGGAAUUGACGGGG